This 72-nucleotide transfer RNA is filed under the name Bos taurus (domestic cattle). It matches the Rfam family "tRNA". From Rfam's summary of the family: Transfer RNA (tRNA) molecules are approximately 80 nucleotides in length. RNAcentral also lists the same sequence under 5 other names. The record is from Rfam by way of RNAcentral. Lineage: Eukaryota; Metazoa; Chordata; Mammalia; Artiodactyla; Bovidae.
UCCCUGAUGGCUCAGUUGGUAAAGAAUCUGCCUGCAAUGCAGGAAAUCCAGGUUCGAUCCUUGGGUUGGGAA